RNAcentral lists this unclassified non-coding RNA (1312 nucleotides) under Hevea brasiliensis (rubber tree). The record is from RNAcentral. Lineage: Eukaryota; Viridiplantae; Streptophyta; Magnoliopsida; Malpighiales; Euphorbiaceae.
GUCGUGAGAACUACUAAAAAGGGUUUUGAAAAUAAUUUCCAUUUAUUAAAUUUGAUUUUGGGUGGAGAAGGAAACCCCCCACAAGGCUAAUAUCAGAGUUAUAUUGUAUUAUACAAAAUCUCAAUUUGCUCAAUUGAAAAGAAUGGUAACCUUGAGGAAACACAAUCAUGCCCAUAAAGCAUGACUAGCACAAACAUUAAUCCAUCAUUUAUAUCAUCAUCUGUAUCAAAUUAGGUAUGAAGCCACGAUGCAGUACCUAGGCCAAGCUCUUAUGUGAGGAAGGAUGUUGAGGCAUGAGCAUCAAUCACUCCUCUGAAACCUUGAAAAAUGUAUAGGAUAGAAUUAUGUUGUUAAUCCCAUCCAUUCUAGGAUCAGUUUCGAAUUCUGGGUCAAUAUAAAAGAAUACCUGCAAACAUGAUCAUGGAAGGCAUAUCAAUCUGCUCCCCAGGAAGAAGGCGCUGCUCCUCAAAGCAAAAGCAUUGUAUUUUAUUGAAGUACACUGCAGCCUUCAUAGGGGUCACAUUAUACGUAGAUACACCAGUUAUUGGAGUUGAACUUCGAUUCUCAGCAGUGUAAAAUGCAAGAGCACUUUCUCCUGGUUUUACCCUCACCUCUCUUUGUGUGGGAAUAAACUUCCAAGGCAUUCCAUCAGCCACAUCAGCAUUAAAUUGCACAACAAUAUCCCUUGUGGUGACAGUUCCUUCUUUAGCAUGCCGAGCAAUUUUCUCUUCAACGCUCUCCCGGCGCUGAAUGGUGCCUCCAUAGCCAGUAGCUUGGCAGAACCUUCGAUAAAGAGGAACAGCAGCAUAUGUACCCCCAACCAUUGCAAAAACCAAACCCGUUAGAUACAUCAAUAAUUUUCUCGAUUUCCGCUCUGUACUAGUAGAAGCUUGAUAAGUAGCGAAAUGCCUCUUACUGCAACUAUUACCAAGCCAACCACCGAUUGGUGGUAUGCUAACUUCAAACCUUGGCACUGGAAUCCGAUAAUGACCGCCAAAACUCGGCCAAUUAUGUGCAGCGCUGAUGUUCUUGUAACUGUUGGCUCCGUUGAAAUCGUAAGCCCUGGGCUGAAGAGGACCAUUUUUUAAUAUAGAUUUUAGAUGAGGAAUUCUUCUAGCUUUAGCGAGACUUGACCAUGACAUGUUUUGCAGAGAUCUAAGUAACAAUUUUUAACAAGUAAAAUAUUUGAGGAGUAGCAAACGAUGUGAUGUUUGGACGCUGGGAAAGUUAAAGAAAAUAGUACGGCGUGAAUAAGCAGAUAGUUCACCAACCCUUGUUUGGAUUGAGGAGGAAUGGAGAUGAAGGUAAAGAA